Molecule: long non-coding RNA, 2525 nt
Organism: Hypomesus transpacificus
Lineage: Eukaryota; Metazoa; Chordata; Actinopteri; Osmeriformes; Osmeridae
Exons: 2
Source: RefSeq, a predicted model, not a curated record
UUGAUACUUUUGAUGGGGAACCAAUACAGAGGAAAUGUGAAAAGAAAAAAGAAUGCCUAAAAAUUCUGAAUUGAAACAAACACUCAUUAUCUUGGGUACAAAUGAAAGUACAUUAAAAAGUUAAAUGAAUGUCAUGUCUAUGCUAUUCAUAUGAACCACUUAACAAUAUCCAAACAUACAAUACACUAUGUCAGUUUUUAUGAAUAGAUAUUGGAAAUCUAUUCAUCAUUAAAAAUCUUCAUACUUCAAUACAGUCAACAGUUGCUUUCCUUCUUUGUUUCCUGACACUGUAUUUUUAAAGAGAGCAGAUUGAAGAAUGGCUGCUGUCUAGUACACAGAGAGGGAUUUGUGCUGUUUCUCUACAAUAGUUGCUCCACUGUUUCAUUAUAAUCCUACAUCCUGUAAUUUCAAGAUUCGACUGCCAUUGCCACUAGGGCUAGCGAUUUAAACAGAAUAAAUUGACAAGCAACAGCAAUCGUGUUGUUAGCCUAUUAAGAUUUAGUUGUAAAGAAUCAAGACAGCUCAACCCAGAAUGGCAUGGGAUUUGAUGACAGAGAAAACUGGACACAGUCGAUUGUAGUAAUGGAAAGGAUAUUUUAAUACUCUGGUGUUGUACUUGCUAAAGAUGACAUGUUCUGCUUAUCUUUAAUCCAAUUAACACUCAUUUAAGAGUAACACACCAUACCACAAUCUGAUGCAAAAGAAAUCGCUGUUUUAUUUUAACAAGAUGAUAUAAACAGGCCAAUGCAAAACAACAGUCAGCACUAAAGUCAUUACACAAGUUAAUUAGGAACGUUAUGUCUUCAGUGACAAAGAGUCCUUUUUUCUCCAACAUCCACCAAAUCGAAAACUUCCCAGAGUGCCUUGCUUUGCAUGUCUUGUGAUUAUCCCAAUGGACUAAGUCCAGUAUGAGACAGUGUUAUGUGCAACAGUAACAGAUCAAAGUAAUUCAACAGAUAAAAGGCGUCCAGAAAAGGGGAGAAGACAAGGGCCGUUUAUUUUUACCACAGAAUUGUGUUUGUAAAAUAUAUCUAGAUAUGUCUGACUUGUGCAAGUAGUUUUUAUUCCCCCUGAGAUCUGAAAAAUGAUUGAUGUCCCCCACUUUAAUGCUAAAGAGGGCAAAGGCAAACCAUGCCAUGUGUAAGCAUUGUCACACCUGUGUCAUGUAUUCACAACAAACCAAAGUUGUUUAUGGCUAAACAUUACAGCACCCAGACUGUUCCAAAGUUUACCUGUAAAUAGCAUCAACAUUGGUAGACGAUGGUGAUUGGUCAAAAUCUUUACAAUCUACUUCUAUGAGGCAUUCAGUAGCUUCACUAAACCUCCACUGAAACAAACACAUUUCUUGCAGUUGAUAUUUGGACCUCACGUUUGUAGUUUCAAAUGCUCCAAUGGAUGAUAAAGCAGUGAUAUCAGCCAAGGAGAUUAUGACGUUUUAUCAUUCAUUAGGCGAUUUGUAUACUUUUUUGUGUGUUGUUUAUACAGGACUAUAUGUAUCUGAAGUUUAGCUAUGUGAAUUGACAAAAAUAAAUACAACAUUGUUGCAUAUUUAGAAUUUAGUUAAAAAAAAAAAAACAUGUGUGUGCCUGUUUACUAUAAAUAGACUUAGCACCAGCUGUUAAAUAGUCUUGUUAGCAAAAUGGCUCUGAAUAUUAUUUUGUCUCAAGAGGAAAACAACUAAAUUUGCAUUAAUUUAUUGGUUACAUUAGAAGACGAGGGAGUAGAAUAAAUAUUCUCUCAUGAAAAUGCUUUCUGUGCUUAUCUCCCUAUACAUUUCUUUAUGAAAUUAAUUGGAACACUGGCCCACCAGAAUUAUCUCAUAUCUGAUCUUUAGUUCUUUAUAAGGUUGUUCUUGCAAAAAGCAGCUAAGCGACUAUAAAUAAAUUCAAUGGGGGAAACUGGAGAUGCUCUAAUGGCCUAAAGGACACACUGAAAAAUUAUGUAAAACAUUUUUUGCACCAGCCCAAAAAUAUGAAUCCUUAGUUUUAAAAUUCACUCUAAAUUAUGAUUACAUUAUUAUAGUUGUUCAUUAUAUACUUUAUUUCCUGAGGUUCAUUUGGAUGGUAAAGAUAAUGUAAAUGUUUCUUUAAGUAGAUAAUGCAGCUAUGCUUACAUUAUAUCUUGUUGCAUCCAGUCUGCAUGAAAUGCAACAGUAUUACUCAAUGUAACUGAUGCAAAUAGGUUUGUAUCUGUCUACUAUUGUUCUGUGGUCUCCAUCGUCUCUGUUGUUGAUGCUAUGCAGAGGUUUGUGGGUCAGAAUAGCCAGAAAGGCAUGCUGACUGCCAUACUGCAAAAAUGCUAAAGGAUGUAUUGUAGUUUGUCAUCCUGGCAUUUCUGGCACAGUGUAUCAUACGUAUCAUGUAAUGGGACAUUGAAUGUCUGACAGACUAUAUAGGCAGGUAGUGUGCUAUUUGAAAUGCAGGGAAUGAAUGUCAGGACCAAAUACUCUCUUCCUCUAUGCUAAAUCAAAAGACAAUACAUAUUUCAUCAGGAUGUUAACAAAGAAAGAAAAAAAUGCAGAAAAA